Non-coding RNA from Coniochaeta pulveracea, 122 nucleotides. Lineage: Eukaryota; Fungi; Ascomycota; Sordariomycetes; Coniochaetales; Coniochaetaceae. The record is from the annotation of a GenBank genome assembly.
GGCUGGAUGGCCGAGCGGUCUAAGGCGCUAGACUCAAGUGGAGCACAAUUGCACACUUUCAACUGUACAGUUGAAGCAUUCUAGUCUCGAAAGAGGCGCGCGUUCGAAUCGCGCUCCAGUCA